GGAUAUAUAGCUCAGUGGUAGAGCACAUACUUAGCAUGCACGAGGUCCUGGGUUCAAUCCCCAGUAUCUCCA
RNAcentral lists this transfer RNA (72 nucleotides) under Camelus bactrianus (Bactrian camel). It matches the Rfam family "tRNA". From Rfam's summary of the family: Transfer RNA (tRNA) molecules are approximately 80 nucleotides in length. Their secondary structure includes four short double-helical elements and three loops (D, anti-codon, and T loops). Further hydrogen bonds mediate the characteristic L-shaped molecular structure. tRNAs have two regions of fundamental functional importance: the anti-codon, which is responsible for specific mRNA codon recognition, and the 3' end, to which the tRNAs corresponding amino acid is attached (by aminoacyl-tRNA synthetases). tRNAs cope with the degeneracy of the genetic code in two manners: having more than one tRNA (with a specific anti-codon) for a particular amino acid; and 'wobble' base-pairing, i.e. permitting non-standard base-pairing at the 3rd anti-codon position. Lineage: Eukaryota; Metazoa; Chordata; Mammalia; Artiodactyla; Camelidae. The record is from Rfam by way of RNAcentral. RNAcentral also lists the same sequence under 1 other name.